RNAcentral lists this ribosomal RNA (252 nucleotides) under uncultured bacterium. RNAcentral describes it as "partial 16S ribosomal RNA". It matches the Rfam family "Bacterial small subunit ribosomal RNA", at positions 524 to 776 of the family's 1533-position model. The record is from RNAcentral.
UACGUAGGAUGCGAGCGUUGUCCGGAUUUAUUGGGUUUAAAGGGUGCGUAGGCGGACUGUCAAGUCAGCGGUAAAAUUGAGAGGCUCAACCUCUUCCCGCCGUUGAAACUGGUGGUCUUGAGUGGAUGAGAAGUACGCGGAAUGCGUGGUGUAGCGGUGAAAUGCAUAGAUAUCACGCAGAACUCCGAUUGCGAAGGCAGCGUACCGGCAUCCAACUGACGCUGAGGCACGAAGGCGUGGGGAUCAAACAGG